UACGUAGGGGGCAAGCGUUGUCCGGAUUUAUUGGGCGUAAAGCGCGUGUAGGCGGCCAGAUAGGUCUGCUGUGAAAACUCGAGGCUCAACCUCGAGCUGUCGGCGGAAACCAUCUGGCUAGAGUCCGGAAGAGGAGAGUGGAAUUCCUGUUGUAGCGGUGAAAUGCGCAGAUAUCAGGAAGAACACCUAUGGCGAAGGCAGCUCUCUGGGACGGUACUGACGCUGAGACGCGAAAGCGUGGGGAGCGAACAGG
This 253-nucleotide ribosomal RNA is filed under the name uncultured bacterium. RNAcentral's name for it is "partial 16S ribosomal RNA". It matches the Rfam family "Bacterial small subunit ribosomal RNA", at positions 524 to 776 of the family's 1533-position model. The record is from RNAcentral.